RNAcentral lists this ribosomal RNA (573 nucleotides) under uncultured bacterium. RNAcentral's name for it is "partial 16S ribosomal RNA". It matches the Rfam family "Bacterial small subunit ribosomal RNA", at positions 355 to 919 of the family's 1533-position model. The record is from RNAcentral.
UGGGGAAUAUUGCACAAUGGGCGCAAGCCUGAUGCAGCCAUGCCGCGUGUGUGAAGAAGGCCUUCGGUUGUAAAGCACUUUCAGCGAGGAGGAAGGUGGUGAGCUUAGUACGCUCAUCAAUUGACGUUACUCGCAGAAGAAGCACCGGCUAACUCCGUGCCAGCAGCCGCGGUAAUACGGAGGGUGCAAGCGUUAAUCGGAAUUACUGGGCGUAAAGCGCACGCAGGCGGUUUGUUAAGUCAGAUGUGAAAUCCCCGGGCUCAACCUGGGAACUGCAUUUGAAACUGGCAAGCUAGAGUCUCGUAGAGGGGGGUAGAAUUCCAGGUGUAGCGGUGAAAUGCGUAGAGAUCUGGAGGAAUACCGGUGGCGAAGGCGGCCCCCUGGACGAAGACUGACGCUCAGGUGCGAAAGCGUGGGGCAGCAAACAGGAUUAGAUACCCUGGUAGUCCACGCUGUAAACGAUGUCGAUUUUGGAGGUUGUGCCCUUGAGGCGUGGCUUCCGGAGCUAACGCGUUAAAUCGACCGCCUGGGGAGUACGGCCGCAAGGUUAAAACUCAAAUGAAUUGACGGGUC